This 495-nucleotide ribosomal RNA is filed under the name uncultured bacterium. RNAcentral's name for it is "partial 16S ribosomal RNA". It matches the Rfam family "Bacterial small subunit ribosomal RNA", at positions 28 to 507 of the family's 1533-position model. The record is from RNAcentral.
GACGAACGCUGGCGGCGUGCCUAAUACAUGCAAGUAGAACGCUGAAGGAGGAGCUUGCUCUUCUGGAUGAGUUGCGAACGGGUGAGUAACGCGUAGGUAACCUGCCUGGUAGCGGGGGAUAACUAUUGGAAACGAUAGCUAAUACCGCAUAACAGUAGAUGUUGCAUGACAUUUACUUAAAAGUUGCAAUUUCAUCACUACCAGAUGGACCUGCGUUGUAUUAGCUAGUUGGUGGGGUAACGGCUCACCAAGGCGACGAUACAUAGCCGACCUGAGAGGGUGAUCGGCCAAAAUGGGAAUGAGACAAGGCCAAGAAGAAUACGGGAGGCAGCAGUAGGGAAUCUUCGGAAAUGGACGGAAGACUGAACGAGCAACGCCGAGUGAGUGAAGAAGGUUUUCGGAUCGUAAAGCUCUGUUGUAAGAGAAGAACGAGUGUGAGAGUGGAAAGUUCACACUGUGACGGUAUCUUACCAGAAAGGGACGGCUAACUACGUG